RNAcentral lists this ribosomal RNA (434 nucleotides) under uncultured microorganism. Its description in RNAcentral is "bacterial SSU rRNA". It matches the Rfam family "Bacterial small subunit ribosomal RNA", at positions 346 to 795 of the family's 1533-position model. The record is from RNAcentral.
CGGCUGCAGUCGAGAAUCUUCCUCAAUGCACGAAAGUGUGAAGGAGCGACGCCGCGUGCCGGAUGAAGGCCUUCGGGUUGUAAACGGCUUUUAUUGGAGAAGAACUAAUGACGGUAUCCAAUGAAUAAGAGGUUGCUAACUCCGUGCCAGCAGCAGCGGUAAUACGGAGACCUCGAGCGUUAUCCGGAUUUAUUGGGCGUAAAGGGUCCGUAGGCGGUUUUGUAAGUCAUCUGUCAAAUCGCAAGGCUUAACCUUGCGGCUGCAGCUGAUACUGCAAAACUAGAGAGCGGGAGAGGUACACGGAAUGGCCGGUGUAGGGGUAAAAUCCGUUAAUAUCGGCUAGAACACCAAAGGCGAAGGCAGUGUACUGGAACGUUUCUGACGCUGAGGGACGAAAGCGUGGGUAGCGAAAGGGAUUAGAUACCCCUGUAGUC